RNAcentral lists this ribosomal RNA (244 nucleotides) under uncultured Staphylococcus sp. RNAcentral describes it as "partial 16S ribosomal RNA". It matches the Rfam family "Bacterial small subunit ribosomal RNA", at positions 96 to 334 of the family's 1533-position model. The record is from RNAcentral. Lineage: Bacteria; Bacillati; Bacillota; Bacilli; Caryophanales; Staphylococcaceae.
CGGCGGACGGGUGAGUAACACGUGGAUAACCUACCUAUAAGACUGGGAUAACUUCGGGAAACCGGAGCUAAUACCGGAUAAUAUAUUGAACCGCAUGGUUCAAUAGUGAAAGACGGUCUUGCUGUCACUUAUAGAUGGAUCCGCGCCGCAUUAGCUAGUUGGUAAGGUAACGGCUUACCAAGGCAACGAUGCGUAGCCGACCUGAGAGGGUGAUCGGCCACACUGGAACUGAGACACGGUCCAG